AUCACAGCACUUCGAAAUGGAUCGAUCGCGGCCACUUCGUCCCAUAAAUUCAGGGGACUCCAAACUCUCUGUUUAAUUUCCGAGAUGGCGUUUGUGGCACUCUUCAUAACGGCAACGAAGCUCGUCGGAAUCUUGGUCACUGUUACCGUUGCAGCCAACGCCGUCUCCUUCUCUCGCUACCGGAGAAAGAAUCUCCGGCGUUUCCAAUCCCCUAUCGACGAGUCCUCUGACAUACUAGCCGACUUCGAUGUUAAUGAUGGUAAGUUUUUCUUUGGACUAGCAACAGCACCGGCACACGUUGAAGACAAACUCAAUGAUGCUUGGCUUCAGUUUGCAGAAGAAAACCCUUGUGACAAAUCAGAGCCACAUCUGGGCCUGCAACCUGCUGAUGCAUUAAUGGGUUCUGCUACCGGUGGUGGUGGGUCUCAGCAAGCUUCAUUACCACAAAAGGGUGUUAAUAAAACAGUGAAGAAGAAGAAGCCUCUUAAGAUAGCUAUGGAAGCCAUGAUUAGGGGGUUUGAGAAAUACAUAGAAGAAGAGAGUGAAGAAAAGCCUGCACCAAAAGAGGAAUGUCAUCAUAAUGUAGCUGCAUGGCACAAUGUUCCACACCCGGAAGAAAGGCUAAGGUUUUGGUCUGAUCCUGAUGUAGAACUGAAACUGGCUAAGAAUACUGGAAUAAGUGUCUUCCGAAUGGGAAUAGAUUGGUCAAGAAUCAUGCCCAAAGAGCCAGUCAACGGGCUUAAUGAAAUUGUCAAUUAUGCGGCAUUGGAGCGUUACAAGUGGAUAAUAAACAGGGUACGUUCAUAUGGAAUGAAGGUGAUGCUGACUCUGUUCCAUCACUCAUUGCCACCUUGGGCUGGUGAGUAUGGAGGGUGGAAGCUGGAAAAAACUGUUGAUUAUUUCAUCGAUUUUACCAGGCUUGUUGUAGACUGUGUAUCGGACGUUGUAGACUAUUGGGUGACAUUUAACGAGCCUCAUGUCUUCUGUAUGCUGACUUAUUGUGCCGGUGCUUGGCCUGGUGGUCAUCCUGAUAUGCUGGAGGUUGCCACUUCUGCCCUACCAACUGGUGUUUUCCAACAGGCCAUGCAUUGGAUGGCCAUUGCACACUCAAAAGCCUAUGACUAUAUCCAUGAGCACAGUGCCUUACCAAAUCCAGUAGUCGGAGUAGCGCACCACGUCUCGUUUAUGCGGCCAUAUGGUCUCUUUGAUGUUGCUGCUGUUUCAUUGGCAAAUUCCUUGACUCUCUUCCCAUUUGUGGAUGACAUCUCUGAUAAGCUGGAUUUUAUAGGCAUAAACUACUAUGGGCAGGAGGUGGUCUCUGGUUCUGGACUGAAGCUUGUAGAGACUGAUGAGUACAGUGAAUCUGGACGUGGGGUAUAUCCUGAUGGCCUGUACCGCAUGCUGCUUCAGUUCCAUGAAAGAUACAAACAUCUGAAUGUCCCCUUCAUCAUUUGUGAAAACGGUGUUUCUGACGAGACAGACUUGAUCCGGCAGCCAUAUCUGUUAGAACAUUUGCUCGCUGUUUAUGCUGCCAUGAUCAUGGGUGUCCCUGUGAUUGGCUACCUGUUUUGGACUAUUUCUGAUAAUUGGGAGUGGGCUGAUGGAUAUGGUCCCAAAUUUGGACUUGUAGCAGUUAAUCGAGCUGAUGGUCUUUCCCGGAUUCCACGUCCUUCUUACCAUCUAUUUUCUAAGGUGGUUAAAUCAGGUAGAAUUAGACGUGAAGACAGAAGACGUGCAUGGAUUGAGCUACGAAGAGCCGCUAAAGAGAAUAAAACGCGUCCAUUUUAUCGGGCCAUUAAUAAACAGGGUUUGAUGUAUGCAGGAGGCCUUGAUGAACCCAUACAGCGGCCUUACAUGGUACGAGAUUGGCGGUUUGGACACUAUGAGAUGGAAGGUCUGCAGGACCCAUUGAGUCGCUUAUCAAGAUAUCUUCUCCGACCUUUCUCCAUCAAAAAGAAAACGAAGCCUCAAAGUGAUGAUGCUGAAUUGGUUCUUCUGCCUCUUUAGCAUCUGAUGGCUUGCUCAUAUUGCUAUGCAUGUUGGCAUCUCUUAAUUUCCAAAACCGGGCCCUUGCCACACCGAAUAUCACUAUUCGGAGUGCGUUGACCGCUCAAGAAGUUGUGGAUUAAGGAAGUUCCGAAAAGGAAAUGUUUUGGCUCGUGAAGAAACCACAAACAAAAACUUGAGAAAGAGUUGCCAUAGGAUGGGUAGCUACAGGUUGAGGACCUUGAGUCCCACGGUAAUUAAAACUUUCAAAAAGUUUUGAUGUGGAUAGAGGCCUUGGAGUCGUCUCUUCAUUAUCAGCUUCUUCUUCUUCCUCUACAAAAUGGCCAUGUAGUGGAAAGCAAAAGAGUGAGCUGAGAGCUAGUAUCCAACAAAUUUCAUAGUGUAA
RNA transcript from Juglans microcarpa x Juglans regia, 2392 nucleotides. It is a transcript of the gene named beta-glucosidase-like SFR2, chloroplastic, with no coding region annotated. The record is from RefSeq and is a predicted model, not a curated record. Lineage: Eukaryota; Viridiplantae; Streptophyta; Magnoliopsida; Fagales; Juglandaceae. The transcript has 12 exons.